RNAcentral lists this ribosomal RNA (253 nucleotides) under uncultured prokaryote. Its description in RNAcentral is "partial 16S ribosomal RNA". It matches the Rfam family "Bacterial small subunit ribosomal RNA", at positions 525 to 777 of the family's 1533-position model. The record is from RNAcentral.
ACGAAGGGGGCUAGCGUUGCUCGGAAUUACUGGGCGUAAAGGGCGCGUAGGCGGACAGUUUAGUCAGAGGUGAAAGCCCAGGGCUCAACCUUGGAAUUGCCUUUGAUACUGGCUGUCUUGAGUUCGGGAGAGGUGAGUGGAAUGCCGAGUGUAGAGGUGAAAUUCGUAGAUAUUCGGCGGAACACCAGUGGCGAAGGCGAGUCCCUGGAAAACUCCUGACACUGAGGCACGAAAGCUAGGGGAGCAAACAGGA